CAUGAAAGUCAUAAAAAUAUUUUCUCUCCUGUCAUCACAGUGUUUAUUUCUCUUAGCUUACUGGGCACUAUGUACUCAGAAUAAGACCUCCCAAAAAACAGCGCCUGCAAAAAGCCCCACGGGGCACCCUUCAUUUGGACACAAGCACAUGGCAAAACCCCCCCCCCCCCCCCCCCCGAGUCAAAGGCACCAAGGACACACAUUAGCCUGUCAGCACGGGCAAGUGUUCUUCACUGCACUCUCCGGAUUUGGGAACUUGUACAUAUUUUCAUAAUGAUCUGGCCAGUGUCUGCCUCCUCUAUGCGACCAUAAGCUGCUUUGAACAUGAACCAGCUUUGUUCUUGUUGAUUGUUGUAUGUCCAUCAUAACAUAGAGCCUGACACUUGUAAGGCCUUACAUAUCUGCUGAGGAAGGAAGGAAGAAGAAAGAGAAGGAGAGAGGGACAGCAGAGAGGAAGGAAAUAAGGAUGCUCGUUGCAAAAGAGAAAAUGCUGCUUAACGGUUGGCAUUAGAAGAGUUUGCCUAAUUUUUUUUUUGCCUAAUCUUUCAUGCAAAUAGUGCCAACCUAAAAAUACUCAGACAUCUAACAUGAACUAUAUAUUCACAGAGAGUGACUACCCUCAGAAAACACUGAGACAGAUCUUUAAAAUUUUAUACCAACCAUAUAAUUGGACCCAUUAAGGGAGAAAUUGGUUUUCUAUGCCUGGAAAUGGCGGGGGGGGGGGGUGGAUUUUAUUAUUUUUGAAUUUUCAAAAUAGCAUUUAGUUGAAAGUCCAACUGUGCAGACUUAUCAACUUCUGAGGCCAGACUAGGGUCUAUGUGGGUGACUUCUGCACCUGACAGAAACACAUCUUGGGGUCUAGGUCAUGGACACUGUUGGCUCUGGGCUCAUUCACAGGCUGCACAGCUACCUGCAAGCACUCAGCACAUCUGCCAAUGGUCACGUGUUAAAGCUGUUGAUUUGAGAGGCACUGGUUGGCCAAUCCGCACACUGUUUGAACUGCACCUGCAGUAAUUUUGCACUUGAAGGACUGCAGGCCUCAAAGAGGAGCACCAGUGAAGUAUUGGUAAGAGGCUCAGUGUUAUCUCUAGUGGUGCUGCAGGGCCUGCGAUGGCCCUCUUACAGUAAUCUAGGAAAUCAAGGGCCCACAGCACCAGACGAGCUGCAGGGGCUGGGAGGGCUGGGGAAGGGAGGUGGGCAGGAGGAAGAAUCAGGGCCCAGAUGCAGGAAGGGUAAAAGCACGGGCUCCGCAAGGUCUCAGGGCUGUGGAGCUCUCCCAUUUUCCUUCAGACUUUCGAAGAGUGAGGAAGCUCCUGGAGUGGAAGCUGGUACUUGGAGGUGGGUCUUUGGAGGUGCUUGAAUAUUUCAACUUCAAAGGUAAAUUUUUAUUUCUAAAGUGGUAGGGAUUAACGUGUGUUUAAGUAAUAUAAAAUAAGCUUGAAGUUUAACUUUCUCUGGGUAAAUGCCCUCUUAUCCAACAAUGAUAGAAAUAUCAGAAAUGAAGUCAUGUUAGUGACUAGAGUCAGUGAAGUACCUAGAGCAAAAUCCAGCAAAGUUUUCCUUCCUCUUGAACAGGUAGUACAGGCAAGUGGGCAGUCUAGCCACCUGACAAACAGACUAUUUGUGGAAUAUGUGCUCCCUGGCAUUAAUAAGCAGUUACCUGUUUCUAUAUCGAUGUAUACGUUAACAACAAAAUACGCAUACUUUCCAACUGCAAGUAUCUAUACUCUUGUACAGAAACUCCUUGAAGACAGUAACCCCUGCACCUGGAAAAGGUGUCUGACAGACAACAGGUGCUCAGAGGACAUUUGCUGGCUUGAAUGAGCCUCUCCAUUCACCUGUGGAAUUAGCACUGUGCCUGCAUCCAGCUCAGUUCUGCACUUGUCAGGAAAAUUAACUGGCAGGGAAACUGAAGCAUAAAAAAGAAUGAAAUGGACUGUGAUGGUGUUACAAGAUUAUAUACGAUGACCAAAAUGCAUCAAGCUGCACACAUAAAAUGGUGAAUUCUACUUUGCAUAAAUACCUUAACCAAAAAAAAAAAAAAAAAGGGAGAGAAAAAUCCAAUGGCCAAGUAAAUAGCGUGGGUCACCACAGGGACGCAGAUAUAUGAUCAUUACUGAAUGAGGCUGGAGGUAUUCCCAUGUGUAUAUUAGAAAUUUGUAUGUUUUUUUCUAUGAAAAACCUAUUUGUAUCACUUAUCCAUUCCUUUAUGGGGUUUUGAAUUCUAAAAUAUAAUUUGUAAAAGGUUUUAAAUAUUAAAUACAUGAACUUGGUCAAUAAAGAGACCUAAAGAUUUAUAGUACAAACAUGACAUUUCUGAACAAGACAUUUCUCCUGAUAUUGACAGACUAAGUUAUUAAUGUUUAGACUCUGUUAGGGGAAACCAUAAAUUUGAUUGGCUGUAUCAUAACAAUUUUUUAAAAAUUUCAAGACACUAUGAAAAAGCCCAUGAAGAGAGUGCUUGUCACAUGCUUUCACAAGAGAUUAUGUUGGUUGACUUGAAUCCUGAAUCACAGGAAAUGUCCUAGCUUGCGGGGAGGUGGGUGGCUGACGUCCACUGUUCCCUAAGGAAGACACAUGGAAGUCAAGUAAAAUCUGACUUUUAGGAAGCAUGUCUCCUGAAUUUCACCAACUGAACCUAUUGCUCUAUUUUAUCAAACUCUACCAAAUUUGUCUGUUCAAGUUUACUUAAGAUAUGUAAAGUUUCGGGGGGGGGGGGGACAUACCUUCCAGACCAUUAUACCUUCAUUCAUACAAAGAGACAGGUGACAAGGUUACACGACACUGCCUUUCUGACGUAUCUUCUCACUGAAAUUGUUAGUUCCCAUGUAGCUUCAGCCUUGCCUGUGUAUGUGGUCAACCGGAUGGGGGCACAGGAAUGCCUCCAGCAGCCCAUUGUCUGAGCACCUCCACUCUCCUCUGUUUAUGAAGUCACCCUCUGCGACAGGCAGGACACCAGGGCUCCUCCAUCCUCAUUUCACAGAGAGUGACAGAGAAGUUAAGUGGCUUGUGAAAGGUCAAACAACCAGCCAUUGGUCAGGACCAAAAUAGAAUCGGGGUUUGCUGACCUCCUUGUCUCCUGCUCAGACGAAUCAAGGACAAGAGAAGUGACUCCUGAGCUGUAAAAUAACAGACAGCCUUUUGAUCUUCUCAUCCUUGAAUAGGAUGAGUUAACACAUCUAUGUGGUUUAACAUCUCCCUGGACACCCAAAUGAGAGGCUAUUGAAUUGGUCGGGAAAACUGAAGGCCAAGAAUCCAAAAGUUAGCAACUUCCACUUUUCCAGUGGCUACCUAUAACCUCAUGUAAAAAUUGAAGGCUGCUGUGUCUCAGUUUUGCUCUCUAUGAAAUGGGGACAUUAUGGACUAUGUAUUGAAUAUGCUAAUCUUUCAAUAGAAGUAACGUAUCCUUGGGUAUCGACACUUAAAACUUUGGGAAUGGAAGAUAUGGACAUGGUUUUUUGAGCAUGCCUCUUACCAUGAAAACAAGAAUCAAGAGCUGGUGACAUCCUGAGAACAGCACACUGCACCUUGGAGCAGGACCACUGAAGACAGUGCUGAAGAACCAAUAGUGAUUUAAAAUAGGGCUUACUCAUCAUGCAGCGGGGCAUGGAGCCCUCAGUCCGGCACUAACUACCACACUGUAUCACCUCUGCUGUUCACAUCAGGCUUGACAUAGGGCCUUACUUAAUUCACAGACAUGCUUAUACUUCUGCAAAACUGAAAGCUUUUAAUUACUAUUUGUAGAGCAUCUAAGACAAUUAAAUGCUUCUGAUUACCCUUUUGUUUUUUAAAAACAUAGAAGCAGAGAGUAAACACUUCUACACAACCAUUAGAGCAAAAUGCCUUCCAAGGCAGAAUGCUUUGAAUACAUUGUGCCUUAUAAAAAAUGUAUAAAAGGAUAGCGCAGAAAAAGGCUGUGAGGCGUGACAUGGCCUAUCAUGUUGUGCAUGCAUGAGUUAGUUCUUACAAGAUCAGAACGAGGAGCUAAGAUGAAUACCAUUCAACCUAAGCCUGAUGCGUUGGAAGUUCAGUAUCACAUCGCUCAGGGUCAGCUGAAAGAGCCACUCAAAGGUAUCCUGUCUGGAGAGUCAUGCAUUUUAAAAAUAUUUGAGCAAAUGUGUUAUUUAUCACCUAGAAUGAAGACUCCGUUCUCCAUUUUAAUGUGAGCAGUGAUCACAUUUAUUUCAUGAUACUGUCACCUCUGUGGUCUUUGUUUUUUAUCAUGAAUGUAUCAUGAGUGUCCAGCAUGUCCUCACAUUAGUCCCAGGUUUGGAGGAGGUCAUCUGGGCACCUGCAGGGAAUGACAGCAAACCUGGAACUGCAGGAAGACAGCAAGGCCCCUUUGGACGAUGCCAUCGCCAGAGAACCAGGGGUCUUUCUGCACGAUGCCUAACCUGUUUCUACAGUGUUUUACAUCUUACAGCACAUUUUGACUUUUGUGACAUCAAUAAGAUUUACAUCAUUCUACCCAUUUGUCAAUAAAAGUGACUGAGAGAGGGGACUCUUCCAAAGUCACACAGCUACUAAAUGUCAGAACUCAGACUGGUCUUCUAAAUCAGCCCAUUUGACAUUCAAUAGAAUCUCUUAAUGGCCUUGAAGAAAGGUGAAGGGAGAGAUGUGAUACAAAGGAAUGGGAGGAACUCUAUCACUGGUCACUGUGUGGUUUACAAGCCAGGGCUGGUAGGCUUGAAGGAAACAGGAUAGUCAUGGGCUUGAGCCAGACCACCCAGCUUCAAACCCAAGUUUUGCCAUCACUAGCUGUGUGAUCCUGGACAAGUUUCUCACGUCUCUGUGCCUAAGUUUUCUUAUCUUUAAAAUGAGGGCAAUAACAACCUACCUCAUGUGACUAUCAUGUGAAUUAAAUGGGUUAACAUUUGUAAAGCAUUUAGAAUGAUAUCUGCUAUACAAUAGCUGCUGUGUAAGCAUUGGGCAAGUGAACGAAUACAUUAUUCUACCGUGAGGUGGAGUGUUCUUCUCCAGUUGACAUAAACAACUUACUGAUGAAGUUAGACAUCACCUCACUGAUAUCUUAUUAAACGUUCCUUUUAACUAAUCCUGAUACUUUUCCUUGCCAUUAUGACCAACAGAAAUACAGGCCUCUUUCCUCACUGAUUUUAAAAAGCAAAGCAACCACUAUUGGAUAUCCAACCUGUUUCCCAGACUCCUAGGGUCUCUCCUCUCUCUGAGGUUUGGAAAACUGCUGACUGAUUUCACCAAAUAAUUACAUGGAUUGAUCAAAGGAAGAAACUCUUUCCGCCAAAGUGGUCACUGCCGCCCCCACCAGUGCAAUGCAGCUUGAGACCUGCAGCCCUGGCCAUCAGGUUUUGGUUGUCCUCCCAGCUUCCAUGACCUCAUAGCUUCAGUAUGUACGUGGAAAAGACCUACUUUGGAUAAGAUCUGGCCAGUUUUUACUGUCAGUUAAAAUUGCACAUGGCUUGGUCUUUUGCUCUUCUGAAAGCGUGAUCUGUAAAUUUCUGUGGUCUAGAGUUCUUGCAGAGAAGCGAUUCAAAUACAUUAAUUAAAAGGAUUUUAUCUUCAAAAUUACUAAUACCAUCCCACAGGAUGAUGGCCUUUUAAAAAAUUACUUACUAUUUUCCUGUACUCGCCUUUCAGAAACCAGAAUAUACUAGCACCACGCUGACUGCUAAAGGGAAAAAGGUCCUUCGUGCUUUGUCUUCACACACCAAUCAUUACAGCAUAAAUGUCAGAUGUAUUUCAAAGGAGGGUGGUGUAAAAUACGAAAAUCAACCUAUUUUUCACUCUAUGAUAGGGUGAAGAGGCACACAUAAAAUCAAUUCCUAUGAAAAUUAGGUUUUUAAUACCACUGACAAUGAGGAGCACCAAACUGGAUUAACUGUGGUGAUGAGGAACUUGAAUCUACCUAUGUUUUCAUCACGCAUUUUAGUAUUUUGUUCCUUAGGUCUAUUGUUCCUCCGCAGCUCAGUCAAGUGUCAGCUAUGACUUUUUGAGGAGCUUUGAGUAAUGGGAUCAGCUAAUGUUCUGUACAUGAAGAAACUCCGUAUCAUUCGCUUCUCUAAAAAUACGGCUGCCUGCCACCAGAGCCAAUCCCCAGUGAUGAAUAGCUAAAGGGACGAGUAGGUCUCUAAAUUUACUUCAUAUCUGACAGUCCUUCAGCAGAUACGGAUAAUGGGUCCCUCUGACUCACAAAUUCGACUCCCUCCUACUACAAGCAAGGCUUUUCUUUUUGAUACCAGAAAGGGCAAGGAUUCUUAAUGGCCCAGUGCAUUCCUCCCUUCCCCUUUUCAACCGCCCAACAAAAAUGUGUUAACCGCCUGUAGCAUCAGGCUCUCGGCAGCUGCUGGGCUGGAUAUGAAAAGUUGCAUAACACACACAUCCUCUUCACCCAUUAAAAGUCCAUUAGUAUCUGAUUUGAUGCUACCAAUCAAAAUGAAGCUAGAAAAAAAUUUAAUCUGUGCGUGAUAUACAUCACGCUGCUCUAGCUUCCUGACCUCCAGAGACCCAUGUGGUUAAUCUGCAUAUUGAACAAUUUGCAAUGAGUUCACCUUCACAUGUUUAUGUAGGGGAAACUGUAUUUGCUGGGUGUGUAGUUUGGAUUCAUCCACACAAAAAUGUUUACGUAGCCCCUAUUGUGCGCCAGAAGCUGUAUGCUACCUGUUGGGAGGAACCCAGUGGUGAUACAAAGUGGACAGAAAUAUAUCAAGUUAGUUAUCCACCGCACUGAUAGCUUGAACAAAAAUUUGAUGUAUUGGUUGUACAUUUUAGCUAAUCAAAGCUUAAAAAUAUAUGCUUUAUACUAAGACUACUGCAUGUUCUACUGUGGGUGUUUAGACCAGGUAAUGGUCCUUCUAGAGUACAAACACCUUUGUGAGGUCUAAGACUUUAAGGUACAUUUAAAAUUUCUCAGGUCUAAAGAAUUAAAGGGCUUUUAUCAACCCAUUACAUCGAUACAAUCACUUAAUAAACCUUGUUUUUUCAAAACCCACCACCACCAUCCACUGACUCAACCUCCCACCACGAGCAGUGUCCGGCUGUGCUGAAAUUCCAUCCACACAUCUUCAAGUCCUGUUUUGACUGAUGACUCUGAGAGCAUAGCUAAGGGGGAGUGUCAGCUAGUUUUAAAUAGCCGAAGUGACUUGUGACCUACCCACAUUUGGUGUAAUCAAAAGCUUUGAUACAACAUCUAAAACUGUCAAAUUUGCUUCAACGUGCUGUUUACUGACACCAUCAGUACUCCUCAUGAAUGCCCCUUCACAUCUGUGCUUUCCCUUGCAUUUUACCUAAACACUAUCGGCUUAUUAUGCUUCUGUAUAGAAAGGAAUCAUUUCAUAUUCAAAACACUUUUAAAUGUCUUUUUGACCGUUAUUCAUUCUCAUCUGUUGUUUUUACUUCCACUGUGUUCUGUAAGCAGGCCCUGUGCUAGGCACUACAGCUAGAAAGACAAAUGAGAAAUGGGAAACCUGUAAUUGAGCUAUUAUAUCAUAUUUUAAAAAAUUAAGCAGGAGAAAUGCGAGCAACAUAAUAAUCAAAGCAUAGAAGCAUUUGCCAGAAUUGAAUUUGUUAGGAGUUGUUUUUGCCCAAUUACUACUUUAAUUGAACCAUCCAUAAUUCUUUCCUCUUAUAUUUUUCGUCCAGAGGAAGCCAGACACAAGAGGUUAUACAUGAAGCCAGGAGCUAGUACGCUUUCUGACAGCAGAGACUCCCUAAAGUCUACCAAAAUCACUAGAGGAAGAAAAUAAGAAGUGAUGGUCCCGGAAAACGGCACCUGUCAAAGCCAGAACUUUGACUGCAUUGCUGGCGUUCCUGGGCCAGCUGCACAGAGAGAACAAGCCAGGACCCCGACGCAGUUAAGGGGAUGGGGGCCUGCCGGGGGGGCCCGGGUCAAGACAAACUGUGGUGUUGAUUGAGUAAGGGAGUCUCUGACCCCAGCUCUACCAGAAAAGCAGAGACCCUCUCCAACUCUGAGUUCAGGAAUACCUGCUUCCAACACAGGACAACUGUGCUAUGUAGACACCGUUUACCUGCCUCAGAACUGCACGUGUAUUUACAGGUACAAACACGGGAGACGGGGCUGUCUCUCCCGUCGUGCCCAUCUCUACCACUAUCUGCGGCAUAAUUUUAAUUACUGAGACAAGGCCACCGAAUGUUACCACCCGUUUCCUUCACCCUCUGAUACAUCUCUAUAUUCCCUGAACAGCCAAUUAGUGAUAGCACAGCAUCCAGGAGAAUGACUCCUAUAAUAUUCGGUGCCCCCAAUUCCCCACGCACCAUCUAGCGGUGAUGAUAAUUAUAUUAUCAGUAAUGAUGAUGCUGAUGAUGGGAAUCUCAAUGAAUUUAAAAAACCUAAAAACGCCAUUUUAACAGUGAAAUGGAACAGAGCCUUGAUUUUCCUUUUGGAAACAUUUUCCAAGAAACACAAAGUACUCAUAUUACCUGGGCGAGAAUCACCAUGGCCUCUGGGUUAGAGAGCAGGUUAAAACCAUCAUGUUUUCAACUAAGAAGAUACUAAUUUACUGAAUAAUUAAACACUGCAUUUCCUUGUUCACUGGCUUUUCCAAAUACUGAUAGCAAGGUGAUGAAGUGUUUUUUUAGGUUGGGACACAGGCUUCAGAUAUGGAAAGGCAAGGCUUUUACUUAUCAUGACUCAGUUUCAAAACUAUCUUCCAUUAUAACUUCAUUUACACUGCCCCGUCUUUGUCUGUAAAUCAUUUUUGUUGCCUAAACUUCUCUUGCCUCACAGAUGCCUAGAUUAAAAUGCAUCAUUACUACUGCUUUCCCCCAAAUAAAUGAUGUUGUCCAUAGUUUACUGCCACUUGAACUUUUCCUUAAAUAAAUGUAAAGACAUCUCUCUGGCUACCCACCACAUGUAUUGUAUUUCUAUUACAAAAUAUAUAAACAAAAACCCAUAAACACGGCCCAUUUUUAAUCCUUCCUUUCCAUGAGUCAGUACUAGCUCAACCAAUAACUACAAUCUCUCUAAUUUAAAUGUGUGCACGUGUGUCUGUGUGAGAAAUUAUGGUCAGGGCACACAUGUGCCGUGUAUGUAUGUCUGUAUAUGUACACUUUAGUAGGAGUAAGCCUGGCCUCAUCUGCAACUCCUGUAGGAGUUUCAGAUUCACUUUUCCAUAUCGAAUAACCCAUAAUCUCAAAUUCUGUAUGCAGCCCCAGCUAAUGACCUCUUCCAUGCCUUGUGAUACAGCCUGAAGAAACUAAAAAGCUUAGUGUGUCUCCAUGGCUGAAUGAAGAAUGAUAUGAAAGAGCCCACACAGCAAGAUUUUCUUGAAAAGACAUUAACAUCCAAUACAAAAACCGUAUGUCAAAAAGUGUGAGCUCAGAAUUUGCACUGAGACAGAGCACUUCAAAAAUUCAUGUCUAUUUAAACAUACAAAUACGGAGGGGGUCCCCUCAAAAGCCAAAAAUGGAUAUGAGAAACAAACAGGUGAGCAGGCUUUAAAAAAGUUACUCUGAGGUAUCCCCAAAAUAUUUAGUAUGUUUGCUUUACAAAAACCUGGCCUGCCAUACAGGUUGACUUCUUGUUACAGAAUAGGCCUCUGCUACCCAAAGUAUCUGAAUAUUACAAUCAACUGACUACAUACAUUGCAACUUCCACUGCUUUACAUGAGGAGUCUCUUUCUAAAAUACAUUACUGACUGUCUGAAGUACUGGCUUGUUCUCAAAUUGCUUGUGGAAAUGCUCUGAGUUUCCACAUGCCCACCACCAACUCGGGGCAUCUGCCUGCAGCACAGACACAGCAUGGGAAGAUCCAUUCAUGCGAUUUCAAUCAUUUUUCAUCCGUAACCUCUAUGGCAUAAGGGCAAGUUGCUUAGUAAAAGGGAGAAUGCUUUCACAUCAGACAAGCAUUUGGAAUCUUUUUUCCACCCAUAUACCAGGGACAGUUUCCCAUUUAAAGAAAGAGAAAAAAAUAAAUCCUCUUUAUAAUUGGAAAGAGCUUUCCUCUACAGCUCUGUUAGACAUUGCUGGGAAGAAAAACAUUUCCAAGUUUAUGAGGCAGAUUUCACUGAAGGUGCAUCAAAGAAAACCUAAACUGGUUCUUCUUAUGAAUCAGUCUUAAUAAGACUGACAAACAUUCACCAUGAACAAAAGCCUCAAAAUGUGGCAUCUACUGUCUGUGGCUACUUCCUUUUCAGGUAUCACUAGAUGACCUACCUAGCGGAGGGGGUCAGGAGUUCAAGGGGUCAGGUAUUCAAUGGUUUUGUUUGGUCAUUUUGCCCAUCUAUAACAAGGAAAUUUAAAAAAAUUUAAAAAGCACCCAGCAGAAAGAUGAAGAUUAAUAUUAGGAGGCCUACAAGGUUUUUGAGCCCUUGAGUGAAAAAAAUUAUUCCAUUCAUAAGUGCUAUAUAUUAUUUCACCAAAGGAUUUCAGUUUACUCCCAAAUGACAGCUCCUGGGUCAGAGGCAGACAACAGAACAGAAAAGCACGUCCUAACCAAACGUCCCCCAGGCGGAGCUGGUCCUCUUCCGACCCCCCAGCCCCACUCCCAACAGGCCUCGCUACGCAUCCCUGUAGUUACGCCGUUCUGAAAACAGGGCACAGUCCAGCGUGUGUGCCUGCUGCCUUCUCAAGGGCUGAGGCCUCGCUGUGGAGGUCAAGGCGGUACACGAGGAGGCAGCGAAGGCCAAGCUUGCAGAUCUGAGACAUGAGUAGAAACAGAACUAGAUGACUCUCCCUUUGGCACGUUUAAUCUAGUGUUCUAGAAGAAGCAGUCCUUUGUUGGGGCACUGCUGAGAAUGCAGUGACCUUGGAGAACACGGGCGAGAUCGCUCCGGCUGCCUCCCUGCCCUCAUUCCUCACUGGUCACUGGGCAGCAAGCAGCAGUCACCAAGCCCCCCGCUUCCCUUCACGUCUGAUUUCUCUGCCUUUGUUUGUUACCCCUGAUUAGAGUUCCUCUGUUUCUAUUACAUGAAUUAACACAUUCAUAAUGUAUUAAGGAAAGAAAUGAUGCAGGUGCCUAGGCAGAGUUUGUUUUAGGCAGAGGAUGGGGAGAGAGCAAGGAGUUGAGUGGCUUCUUCAAAUUCUUUUUGUUCCAGAACAAUUUUUUAUUCUGUUCCACUUGAGCGGAAGAAAGAAAGAAGGAUUUUCACACAGAGAAGCAUAUCCUUGUAAUGCAUCUAAAUACAGUGCAUUUAGGAAGGAGUAACAGUGAGAUUAUUUUUUUGAGGCAUAUAUUAAAAUACAAAGCAUUGAGAGACCAUUCCUGUCAUCUUUGCUCUCCAGUCUGCCUUGAUUCCCACUUGCUUCCUAGACUGGUGCCAAUAAAUUCUCUUUUGCUACAAAAGAAGGGAGGGAGGGUGGGAGGGAAGGAGGAAAAACACAAAGCAUCUGCAUCCUGUAGUUAAGAAGAACCAUCAGCCUAAAUAGCAAAAAAGUUGGUCACUAAACAAGGUCACUCAACAAAGUCACAAAGCUGUGACAUGCAGGGGUAGAAAGUGAGGCUAGAAACAGCCUGCUUUGUCCUGGGAGCAGGGAGGCGGCCUGGGGUCACUUGGAAGGCACUGGGCUGCGUGGGAGUAGACCCGGUCACAGCCUUGCAUGAUCUAAAUUUGACUCCACAUAAAAACGAGAGCAUGAGGUAGAUCAGAUUUAAAGGUCUUUUGGCUUUAAAGUUCAACAUGGAAAACUCCUUGAGUCCAUCCCCCGGGUGCCUGAUAUUCUAGGGGUUCUAGUGCCCAAGGAGGCCCAAGUCUGGGUGCUGCUCUAGAAACAGAAUCAGGGUCCUCGAAUGGGUCCAUGUGUAUGUGGCAACUUGUUAAAUGAGAGAGGUAGCAAUACCAGUGGGAGGGAAACAGAUGGAUUAUUUAGGGGAUACUAUUGUAAAAGCUAGAUUACUGCAGAGAGGAAGUGUUAGACUAGUCCCUCACCACUGUAAAAACAAAAUGAAUCCCCCAAAACCUCCCCUUCAAAUGCUGUAAAGGUCUAGAUGUGAAAUACAACCGUGAAGCUAACAGAAAUAGCUACUGGAAAAUAUUUGUGAUAGCUUGGGAUAAGGAAAGGUUCUUCUAACAUGAUUUUUUUAGGUCAUAAAAAAUACACAGAUGGACUGGCUUACAACAAAAACACCACAGAUGAAAUGGACAGAAGAUAUUUGUCAUCUCUAAAAACGAACAAAGGAGUCAUAUCCAGACUAUACAAAAGAUCAGCAAGAAAAAAGGUAAAAAACCCAAUAGAAAAAUGUGCUUAAAGUAUGUACAGGCAGUUCAAAGAAGGGCAAAUUCUAAUGGCUGAGAAACACUGGACUGGCCAAAAAGUUCAUCUUUUUUCCAUAAGAUGGCUCUAGUAGUACUUACUUGUCUUCAACUUUAUCCAAAACAAUAUUGUUAGAUGGCAUUGUGACAGCUGCCAUAUCAGCAUGCAUU
This is a long non-coding RNA of Phyllostomus discolor (pale spear-nosed bat), 12353 nucleotides long. RefSeq lists it as uncharacterized. The transcript has 2 exons. The record is from RefSeq and is a predicted model, not a curated record. NCBI's taxonomy places the organism in Eukaryota, Metazoa, Chordata, Mammalia, Chiroptera, Phyllostomidae.